RNAcentral lists this ribosomal RNA (755 nucleotides) under Escherichia coli. Its description in RNAcentral is "partial 23S ribosomal RNA". It matches the Rfam family "Bacterial large subunit ribosomal RNA", at positions 502 to 1256 of the family's 2925-position model. Lineage: Bacteria; Pseudomonadati; Pseudomonadota; Gammaproteobacteria; Enterobacterales; Enterobacteriaceae. The record is from RNAcentral.
CGUGAGGGAAAGGCGAAAAGAACCCCGGCGAGGGGAGUGAAAAAGAACCUGAAACCGUGUACGUACAAGCAGUGGGAGCACGCUUAGGCGUGUGACUGCGUACCUUUUGUAUAAUGGGUCAGCGACUUAUAUUCUGUAGCAAGGUUAACCGAAUAGGGGAGCCGAAGGGAAACCGAGUCUUAACUGGGCGUUAAGUUGCAGGGUAUAGACCCGAAACCCGGUGAUCUAGCCAUGGGCAGGUUGAAGGUUGGGUAACACUAACUGGAGGACCGAACCGACUAAUGUUGAAAAAUUAGCGGAUGACUUGUGGCUGGGGGUGAAAGGCCAAUCAAACCGGGAGAUAGCUGGUUCUCCCCGAAAGCUAUUUAGGUAGCGCCUCGUGAAUUCAUCUCCGGGGGUAGAGCACUGUUUCGGCAAGGGGGUCAUCCCGACUUACCAACCCGAUGCAAACUGCGAAUACCGGAGAAUGUUAUCACGGGAGACACACGGCGGGUGCUAACGUCCGUCGUGAAGAGGGAAACAACCCAGACCGCCAGCUAAGGUCCCAAAGUCAUGGUUAAGUGGGAAACGAUGUGGGAAGGCCCAGACAGCCAGGAUGUUGGCUUAGAAGCAGCCAUCAUUUAAAGAAAGCGUAAUAGCUCACUGGUCGAGUCGGCCUGCGCGGAAGAUGUAACGGGGCUAAACCAUGCACCGAAGCUGCGGCAGCGACGCUGAUGCGUUGUUGGGUAGGGGAGCGUUCUGUAAGCCUGUGAAGG